Xyrauchen texanus (razorback sucker) is the source of this 3506-nucleotide long non-coding RNA. RefSeq lists it as uncharacterized. The transcript has 4 exons. Lineage: Eukaryota; Metazoa; Chordata; Actinopteri; Cypriniformes; Catostomidae. The record is from RefSeq and is a predicted model, not a curated record.
CGUAUUGUGUGUGCGCCAUUAGGUACAUAUUUGGUAAACAUCCGAAUGUACUGGUAAAAUAAUUAAGUUAUAUAUAUUUGCUUUACUUGCCAUGGACGGAGAAUACUAGAGCAAUUCUGCAGAAUGGGAGGCACAAGAUGGCAGCAUGAUUCAAUCUUUUUCUAUCACUCCAGGAGGAUGGAUUUGGGGAUGCUGAGGCUGAUGGCAAAGUUCAAGAGGAGUGUCUGCAGAAAUUAUCCAGUAGAGAGUAUAUCAUGGAGCCUGCCAUGUUUAACACCCUGAAAAGGUGGUUCACCUGCUGCUCUCAGAGAAUUACUCUGCUGUUGCACAGACAGUGAAUCUGCUGGUGGAGUGGCUCAUACAGAUAGGAGUGGAACCCACCCAGGUGCAGGAGCGUGUUGAGAAUCAUUUGAAGAGUGUCUUGAUCAAACACUUUGACCCUCAGAAAGCAGAUUCAAUCUUCACUGUUAUGGGAGAGGUGACAUAAAUAGGUUUACUCACUGUAAUCAAAUCUAUUAUCAUAAAACUUUAGAUUUCUUAGGUAUGUUCAGAUCAUUAAAACAGAUUUAUAAAAUAUAUAAUUUCUUUUAAGGAUUACUAUAUUUGUUUUGUUUUUUCCUUUAGUGAUUUGCACAUUUGCUUUAAUAUUUUCCCUUAGGGAUUAGUGUAUUCGUUUUGUUAUUUUUUUACUUUAGAGAUUAGUGUAAUUUUCUGUUUAGUUUUUCCCUUUAGGUGUGUGUGUGUGUGUGUGUGUAUUUAGGGAUUAGUGCAAUUUUUUUAGGUAUUUUUCCUUAGGAUUAGUGUUUUAUUUAUAUUUUUCAUUAGAGAUUAGUGCAAUUUUUGGUUUAGCUUUUUCUGUAGGGAUUUGCACAUUUGUUUUGUUUAGCAUUUUUCCUUGGGGACUAGUGUUUUAGGUUUUUAAAUUUGUUCCUAUUGGAUUAAUGCAUUAGUUUAGUAUUUUUUUCUAUAUUGAUUAGUAUAUUUUUUAUUUUGGCUUUCCUUUAGGGUUUAGAACAUUUGUUUGUUUUUUCCUUUAGGGAUUAGAACAUUUGUUUGUUUUUUCCUUUAGGGAUUAGAACAUUUGUUUGUUUUUUCCUUUAGGGCUUAGUACAUUUGUUUGUUUUUUCCUUUAGGGCUUAGUACAUUUGUUUGUUUUUUCCUUUAGGGCUUAGUACAUUUGUUUGUUUUUUCCUUUAGGGAUUAGUACAUUUGUUUGUUUUUUCCUUUAGGGAUUAGUACAAUUGUUUUGAUUAGUUUAGUUUUAUCCUUUAGGCAUUAGUACAAUUGUUUUGUCCUUUUAGGAAUUAGUAUUUGCUUGUUUUCUCUUUUGGUAGUGAUUACAAACUUUUAAACACUUGUUAUUAUAUUACCUUUAUACACUAACAAAUACUAGUUAUUUCCAAAAGCAGCACUUGUCAGAAAUGUACGUUCACAUUGACUAUGUUCCUUUGUGCUUCACAUAUACAAAGAAAUAACAUUAUUUGACAUUAUUUUAUUUCUCUGUUGGCGAUAUUUUCCUCACUGUAUGGAGUUGUAAUAUAGCUAAGUCUUUCAGAAAGCAAUUGUUAAAUACAAAAUGAGUUGAGCCCUGUUAACAAUAUGCCGCUCUGCUAGACGCCAGCAUGUCUGGAACAGAUGAUUGCACACACAAAAUGGAGAGAUCUGUUCUACAAACUUGCUGAAGCCCAUCCAAACUGCCUGAUGCUCAACUUCACUGUCAAGGUAAAGGAGCACCCUAGCGAAGGCUGAAGGCACAGGUUUUCAGUGGUAGCGAUGGCCGUGUUAAAGUGAGUUGACUGGAAGGUAUCUGAGCCUCAUUACUUUUGCAGCUACAGCUAGCGAUAACACACCUGUUCAUUUAGCUCUGCUGGAUGAGGUAACCUUUGCCUCUCUAUCACACCUUUACGUUAGAGUUCAAACUGGCUUGUAAUAUGCAUCAUACCUAUCAGCCAUAUUUAUUGAGUGAAUGUGUGUGUUUGUGUUUAUUUCUCAGAUCAGCACAUGCCAUCAGCUUCUUCAUCCUCAGGUUCUGCAGUUGCUCGUAAAACUGUUUGAGACAGAACACUCACAGCUUGAUGUCAUGGAGCUGGUUUGUUAAAGACAGCAUCAAACCCUACAAUAAUUACAGAAGAAUUAGUACAAUUUAUACAGUGAUCAUGGAAAACCUGGAAACACCUUGGAGUUCUAAAACUGUGAUAUCCAGGACUGGAAAAGUCAUGGAAAUGUAUAAAAUCUUUCUCUGUUUUCUGAAUAUGUCUCUAGACAUGGUACAUUUAUUAUUAUACAAUAGAUAUGGAAGUGUAUGAAGGACAAAUGUGUUUGGUACAAAAAAAGACAAUGCAGGUGUAGCUUCAAUAAAGAUUCUAAUCUGAGCAAUAUGUGAUGACACACAGAUUGUAAAUAAGGUUUAUUUGGCGAGAACCUGUGUCUCAUAGUCGUCAUUCGCACCUAAGUGUACCACCUAGUGGUGAAGAUUAGUAGCAGCAAGCGAGGCACUAACACUUUUGCUGAAAUACCAGGAUGUGCAAGGUUGAACUUCAUUCUGAAUUUGAACCACUCAAAUGUGUGAAGUGAAAUAUAAUGGACCGAAUAUUAACUUAAUAUUAAUGAAUAAAAAAAUUGAAAUUCUUUGAACUGAUCUUUUGUUAAAUGUUUAAUGAUGAAUUAUUGUGCAAACAUUUUUCAGUUGAAAUAAUCACAUCUUAAAUAUACAACUGUAAAAUUGCAUUCCCCAAAACUGUAAACAUUAAUAAAAGUUAAUUUAAUGCGUUUAUUUUUCAAUUAGUGCAUUUCACCAUGCUUUUUUUUGUAGUGAAGACAUUCGUCACUAACAUACUUCCAUAAUCAGGGAAAUAAAAACAAAUGUUACAGCCAAACGUCUUCCUCAUCCUUUGGCUGCUAUGUUUGUAUUUAUUCCUCUGUUCUAAAAUAAUAAAAUAAACUUUUAGUUCUGUUCAAGUUUUUUGGUCUUUGCUCCUGAACUUGCUGGGAUAGUGCGUCGACAACUUUUGUUUAAUUAAUGAAAUCUUUCAAAGACAAGUGUAAGACAGACAUUUCUAAAGUACAUAGAUGUUGGAAAUUGCUCUUUUGUAAAUGCAAUCUCUAUUAAACUAUUUUACAAAUCCUCAUCAGUUAAUAAAGUUAUUUACCCCCCCAGUGCUCAUAAUCAUGGCUCCAAAGCCUGACUUUUUAAUCUCUUGUUAAUUUAUUGUCGCUGGAGCUCAAGAAAACCUUACUGGAUCAUAUGGUUCAUCUGCUGAGUCAAGGUUAUGUGCUUCCUGUGGUCAGCUAUAAAUGUCUUAUGAAACUCAACACAGACGUUUUGCUGAACAGAUACUUUGUUACAGAGGUUAGGCAGUUUUUGAAAUGUCAUCAUAUGCUGCACACAUGAAAAUCUCAUUAUGUAGUGCUUUAUAACCAGUUCAGGGUUGGUUUUCUGAAGUCUUCCUCUCCCAAUUACCUCUUGGGACAGGUUCUGGAUGUGAUAACUCCUCCAUACACUGCCG